UACACAUGCAGUCGAACGGCAGCACGGGUGCUUGCACCUGGUGGCGAGUGGCGAACGGGUGAGUAAUACAUAGGAACAUGCCCAGUAAUGGGGGAUAACGCCGAGAAAUCGGUGCUAAUACCGCAUACGCCCUACGGGGGAAAGCGGGGGAUCUUCGGACCUCGCGUUAUUGGAUUGGCCUAUGUCUGAUUAGCUAGUUGGUGAGGUAAAGGCUCACCAAGGCGACGAUCAGUAGCUGGUCUGAGAGGAUGAUCAGCCACACUGGAACUGAGACACGGUCCAGACUCCUACGGGAGGCAGCAGUGGGGAAUUUUGGACAAUGGGCGAAAGCCUGAUCCAGCCAUUCCGCGUGAGUGAAGAAGGCCUUCGGGUUGUAAAGCUCUUUCGGCAGGAACGAAAUGGUUGCGGUUAAUAACCGCGACUUCUGACGGUACCUGAAGAAGAAGCACCGGCUAACUACGUGCCAGCAGCCGCGGUAAUACGUAGGGUGCGAGCGUUAAUCGGAAUUACUGGGCGUAAAGCGUGCGCAGGCGGUUUUGUAAGUCAGAUGUGAAAGCCCCGGGCUUAACCU
RNAcentral lists this ribosomal RNA (571 nucleotides) under uncultured bacterium. RNAcentral describes it as "bacterial SSU rRNA". It matches the Rfam family "Bacterial small subunit ribosomal RNA", at positions 50 to 615 of the family's 1533-position model. The record is from RNAcentral.